CAGCCGUAAACUAUGCGCGUUAGGUGUAUCGGUGACCACGAGUUACCGAGGUGCCGAAGGGAAACCGUGAAACGUGCCGCCUGGGAAGUACGGUCGCAAGGCUGAAACUUAAAGGAAUUGGCGGGGGAGCACCACAACAGGUGGAGCCUGCGGUUUAAUUGGACUCAACGCCGGGAAGCUCACCGGAUAGGACAGCAGAAUGAUUGCCGGGCUGAAGACUCUGCAUGACUAGCUGAGAGGUGGUGCAUGGCG
This 252-nucleotide ribosomal RNA is filed under the name uncultured archaeon. Its description in RNAcentral is "partial 16S ribosomal RNA". It matches the Rfam family "Archaeal small subunit ribosomal RNA", at positions 748 to 999 of the family's 1478-position model. The record is from RNAcentral.